GAGAGUGUGUCAGUGUAGAGAGUGUGUCAGUGUAGAGAGAGUGUGUCAGUGUAGAGAGAGUGUGUCGGUGUAGAGAGUGUGUUAGUGUAGAGAGAGUGUGUCAGUGUAGAGAGAGUGUGUCAGUGUAGAGAGAGUGUGUGUAGAGAGAGUGUGUGUAGAGAGAGUGUGUCAGUGUAGAGAGAGUGUUUCAGUGUAGAGAGUGUGUUAGUGUAGAGAGAGUGUGUGUAGAGAGAGUGUGUCAGUGUAGAGAGAGUGUGUCAGUGUAGAGAGAGUGUGUCAGUGUAGAGAGAGUGUCAGUGUAGAGAGUGUGUUGGUGUAGAGAGUGUGUCAGUGUAGAGAGUGUGUCAGUGUAGAGAGUGUCAGUGUAGAGAGAGUGUGUCAGUGUAGAGAGUGUGUCAGUGUAGAGAGUGUGUCAGUGUAGAGAGAGUGUGUCAGUGUAGAGAGAGUGUCAGUGUAGAGAGUGUGUCAGUGUAGAGAGUGUGUCAGUGUAGAGAGUGUGUCAGUGUAGAGAGAGUGUGUCAGUGUAGAGAGAGUGUGUCAGUGUAGAGAGAGUGUCAGUGUAGAGAGUGUGUGUAGAGAGAGUGUGUUAGUGUAGAGAGAGUGUGUCAGUGUAGAGAGUUUGUCGGUGUAGAGAGAGUGUGUCAGUGUAGAGAGUGUGUCAGUGUAGAGAGUGUGUCAGUGUAGAGAGUUUGUCGGUGUUGAGAGAGUGUGUCAGUGUAGAGAGAGUGUGUGUAGAGAGAGUGUGUCAGUGUAGAGAGAGUGUGUGUAGAGAGAGUGUGUUAGUGUAGAGAGAGUGUGUGUAGAGAGAGUGUGUCAGUGUAGAGAGAGUGUGUCAGUGUAGAGAGAGUGUCAGUGUAGAGAGAGUGUGUGUAGAGAGAGUGUGUGUAGAGAGAGUGUGUCAGUGUAGAGAGAGUGUUUCAGUGUAGAGAGUGUGUUAGUGUAGAGAGAGUGUGUGUAGAGAGAGUGUGUCAGUGUAGAGAGAGUGUGUCAGUGUAGAGAAGGUGUGUCAGUGUAGAGAGAGUGUGUGUAGAGAGAGUGUCAGUGUGGAGAGAGUGUCAGUGUAGAGAGAGUGUGUCAGUGUAGAGAGUGUGUCAGUGUAGAGAGAGUGUGUCAGUGUAGAGAGUGUGUCAGUGUAGAGAGAGUGUGUCAGUGUAGAGAGAGUGUGUCAGUGUAGAGAGAGUGUCAGUGUAGAGAGAGUGUGUUGGUGUAGAGAGUGUGUCAGUGUAGAGAGUGUCAGUGUAGAGAGAGUGUGUCAGUGUAGAGAGUGUGUCAGUGUAGAGAGAGUGUGUCAGUGUAGAGAGAGUGUGUGUAGAGAGAGUGUGUGUAGAGAGAGUGUGUCAGUGUAGAGAGUGUGUCAGUGUAGAGAGUGUGUCAGUGUAGAGAGAGUGUGUGUGUAGAGAGAGUGUGUUAGUGUAGAGAGAGUGUGUCAGUGUAGAGAGAGUGUGUCGGUGUAGAGAGAGUGUGUUAGUGUAGAGAGAGUGUGUCAGUGUAGAGAGUUUGUCGGUGUAGAGAAAGUGUGUCAGUGUAGAGAGUGUGUCAGUGUAGAGAGAGUGUGACAGUGUAGAGAGAGUGUUUCAGUGUAGAGAGUUUGUCGGUGUUGAGAGAGUGUGUCAGUGUAGAGAGAGUGUGUCAGUGUAGAGGAAGUGUGUCAGUGUAGAGAGAGUGUGUGUAGAGAGAGUGUGUCAGUGUGGAGAGAGUGUCAGUGUAGAGAGAGUGUGUCAGUGUAGAGAGUGUGUCAGUGUAGAGAGAGUGUGUCAGUGUAGAGAGAGUGUCGGUGUAGAGAGUGUGUCGGUGUAGAGAUAGUGUGUCAGUGUAGAGAGAGUGGGUCAGUGUAGAGAGUGUGUCAGUGUAGAGAGAGUGUGUCAGUGUAGAGAGAGUGUCAGUGUAGAGAGUGUGUCAGUGUAGAGAGAGUGUCAGUGUAGAGAGAGUGUCAGUGUAGAGAGAGUGUGUCGGUGUAGAGAGUGUGUUAGUGUAGAGAGAGUGUGUCAGUGUAGAGAGAGUGUGUCAGUGUAGAGAGUGUGUUAGUGUAGAGAGAGUGUCAGUGUAGAGAGAGUGUGUCAGUGUAGAGAGAGUGUGUGUAGAGAGAGUGUGUGUAGAGAGAGUGUGUCAGUGUAGAGAGAGUGUUUCAGUGUAGAGAGUGUGUUAGUGUAGAGAGAGUGUGUGUAGAGAGAGUGUGUCAGUGUGGAGAGAGUGUCAGUGUAGAGAGAGUGUGUCAGUGUAGAGAGUGUGUCAGUGUAGAGAGAGUGUCAGUGUAGAGAGUGUGUCAGUGUAGAGAGUGUGUCAGUGUAGAGAGUGUGUCAGUGUAGAGAGAGUGUCAGUGUAGAGAGUGUGUUGGUGUAGAGAGUGUGUCAGUGUAGAGAGUGUGUCAGUGUAGAGAGAGUGUGUCAGUGUAGAGAGAGUGUCAGUGUAGAGAGUGUGUGUAGAGAGAGUGUGUUAGUGUAGAGAGAGUGUGUCAGUGUAGAGAGAGUGUGUCAGUGUAGAGAGAGUGUCAGUGUAGAGAGUGUGUGUAGAGAGAGUGUGUUACUGUAGAGAGAGUGUGUCAGUGUAGAGAGUUUGUCGGUGUAGAGAGUGUGUCAGUGUAGAGAGUGUGUCAGUGUAGAGAGUGUGUCAGUGUUGAGAGAGUGUGUCAGUGUAGAGAGAGUGUGUCAGUGUCGAGAGUGUGUCAGUGUAGAGAGAGUGUGUCAGUGUAGAGAAGUUGUGUCAGUGUAGAGAGAGUGUGUCAGUGUAGAGAGAGUGUGUGUAGAGAGAGUGUGUGUAGAGAGAGUGUGUCAGU
This is a long non-coding RNA of Oncorhynchus tshawytscha (Chinook salmon), 2773 nucleotides long. Lineage: Eukaryota; Metazoa; Chordata; Actinopteri; Salmoniformes; Salmonidae. The record is from Ensembl.